RNAcentral lists this long non-coding RNA (601 nucleotides) under Homo sapiens (human). RNAcentral's name for it is "non-protein coding lnc-AIDA-2:5". The record is from RNAcentral. Lineage: Eukaryota; Metazoa; Chordata; Mammalia; Primates; Hominidae.
AUAUUUUUUGCCCUGGGCUUUGAGAUACUGCUUCAACUUGAGCUUUUGGGGAACUAAUUAGUGUUUCAACAGUGAGUAUCUUUUCCCUUCAAUUUAUCUACUAAAUUUUGAAUAUAAGAGUUCUUCUUUUUAGUUCUAGAAAGUCCUUUGCUGUAAUUUUUUGUUCAAGUUCUAUUUCCUAGAAGUUGCCUGUUCUGUGUAUUCUGCUUGUUGUUUCUAUCUGGCUGUUAGUCUUCCUGAGUGCAGCGUUAUAUAAUUUUGCCUUCACAUGGCUUUAUGCACCCUUGGGACUCAGAUCUACUUCCUUAGUGUGCUUUCAGCAGCAGCCAUUCAGUGAGCAAUAAGAAGACACAUACACGGCUGGGUGCGCUGGCUCAUGCCUGCAAUCGCAGCGCUUUAAGAGGCCAAGGCAGGUGGAUCACUUGAGGUCAGGAGUUCGAGACCAGCCUGGCCAACAUGGUGAAACCCCCGUCUUAAUAUAGAAAAAUUAGCCAGGUGUGGUGAUGUGUGCCUGUAAUCCCAGCUACUCAGAAGGCUGAGGCAGGAGAAUCUCUUCAGCCCAGGAGGCGGAGACUGCAGUGAGCCGAGAUUGCACCACUGC